AAACUUCACGUGGCCGAGAGCCACAGCGUCUGUGGUGGCUUUCUCCUAGGGUAGGCCCUGGGGUCUGGAGGUGGCCCUGGCUGGGCUGGGAGAGGUGUCCAUAUGGGGCAGGUACCCAUGUGGAAGAGGUGUCCUUGUGAGAGAGGUGUGCUUCUGAGAGAGCUGUCCUUGUACCAACCCCUCUGCACACCCAGACCUGCUGCAGGGCAGGAGCAGGCCCUGGUGAGGAGGCCUCACUUCCCACUUCCCCUGUGCUGUCCGUUCUGACCUGUGGGUAUGACCGGCCCAGAAAAGGUGGCAGAAAUUCAUGAAGAAAAGUGUUUAAGAAACAAGCAGAGCUGGAUCACAGCUUGUUUCCAAAGGAGGCUUCAGGCAUCUGAAUAGAGCUCCACGGUACUUCACCUGAGGAAGGAAAUCUGCUGCUGGUCCAGGGCCUCUGGGAAAGCAGCAUAUCUAAAGCCAUACGGUGUAAAAAGAUGGCUCAGGGCAGAGCCUUGGAUCCAAGUGGUGCAAAUCAGCAUGUGGCAACUCAGAGCAAACCGUGCUACAAGGCACAGGUCUGAGCUUGAUUUUCUUGGUCUCUUACCAGGCUGAGACCAUCUCUGCUGAUUCUCUGGAGGUGGGAGCCAUCUAGCAGACAAGUAAUCAGGCCCAGGCUCUGCUCUUUGCCGCUUUGUAAAGCAGAAGUAUUCCAGCCUUUCUAGCAGCAGCUGUCUUUCCUCUUUGGAAUCCUACCUGAUGUGUGUAAAAUUGGGUGCGGGCUUAGCAGAAAUCUGCAUGUGAAUCCCUUGCUGUUUUGUCUCACAGAGUUAUUGGCGCAGGUUUUCAUGCCACUGAAAUGUACUUGUCAGGAGAGAGGUCCAUGUUUCUCUUCUGCAAAUACAUGGCCAUUCUGAUAACAGAAAGUGAGUCCGAGAUGUGAAAGGAAAGAGAUGUCUGAAGUGAAAGAGCAAUGCAAAUGCUGAGUUCACCCCACCAGAUUUUGAUGUCUGUCAGUCUCUCUCUGGAUAACUCAUCUGUGUUGUGCUGUCAUUAAAAUACUUGCUACUUAAC
Molecule: long non-coding RNA, 1053 nt
Filed under: Gallus gallus (chicken)
Lineage: Eukaryota; Metazoa; Chordata; Aves; Galliformes; Phasianidae
Description: lncRNA (ENSGALG00010020197.1)
Source: RNAcentral